CAAUACGAGCGGCAGACGGGUGAGUAACGCGUGGGAAUCUACCCAUCUCUACGGAACAACUCCGGGAAACUGGAGCUAAUACCGUAUACGUCCUUUUGGAGAAAGAUUUAUCGGAGAUGGAUGAGCCCGCGUUGGAUUAGCUAGUUGGUGGGGUAAUGGCCUACCAAGGCGACGAUCCAUAGCUGGUCUGAGAGGAUGAUCAGCCACACUGGGACUGAGACACGGCCCAGACUCCUACGGGAGGCAGCAGUA
This 252-nucleotide ribosomal RNA is filed under the name uncultured Mesorhizobium sp. RNAcentral describes it as "partial 16S ribosomal RNA". It matches the Rfam family "Bacterial small subunit ribosomal RNA", at positions 87 to 355 of the family's 1533-position model. Lineage: Bacteria; Pseudomonadati; Pseudomonadota; Alphaproteobacteria; Hyphomicrobiales; Phyllobacteriaceae. The record is from RNAcentral.